AGAACGAACGCUGGCGGCGUGCCUAACACAUGCAAGUCGAACGAGAAAGUAGCAAUACGAGUACAGUGGCGGACGGGUGAGUAAUACGUAGAUAAUCUACCUUUAGGUAAGGAAUAACUACUCGAAAGGGUAGCUAAUACCAUAUGUGGUUUCAGAUCGCUGGAUUUGAAAAGAAAGGGGGUCGCAAGAUCUCUCGCCAAAAGAUGAGUCUGCGUCCGAUUAGCUAGUUGGUGAGGUAAUGGCUCACCAAGGCGACGAUCGGUAGCUGAUCUGAGAGGAUGAUCAGCCACACUGGAACUGACACACGGUCCAGACUCCUACGGGAGGCAGCAGUGGGGAAUAUUGCACAAUGGGAGAAAUCCUGAUGCAGCGACGCCGCGUGGGUGAUGAAGGCCUUCGGGUUGUAAGCCUGUCGGCUGGGAACAGGUAGACGUGCUCAUACCACGUUGCUUGAGUGUACCAGCAAAGGAAGCACCGGCUAACCCG
Molecule: ribosomal RNA, 486 nt
Filed under: uncultured bacterium
Lineage: Bacteria
Description: SSU rRNA
Rfam family: Bacterial small subunit ribosomal RNA
Source: RNAcentral